Molecule: ribosomal RNA, 631 nt
Filed under: Microbacterium sp. SUBG005
Lineage: Bacteria; Bacillati; Actinomycetota; Actinomycetes; Micrococcales; Microbacteriaceae
Description: bacterial SSU rRNA
Rfam family: Bacterial small subunit ribosomal RNA
Source: RNAcentral
GGGACCAUUCCACGGUUUCCGUGACGCAGCUAACGCACUAAAUUCCCCGCCGGUGGGGAACAGCCGCCAGGUUAAAACUCAAAGGAAAUGACGGGGACCCGCACAAGCGGGGGAGCCUGCGGAUUAAUUUAAUGCAAGCCGAAAAACCUUACCAAGGCUUGCCAUACCCCCGAACGGGCCCGAAAUGGUUAACUUUUUGGACCCUGGUGAACAGGUGGGCCAUGGUUGUCGUCAGCUCGUUUUGUGAAAUGUUGGGUUAAAUCCCGCAACGAGCCCACCCUUGUUUUUAGUUGCCCAGCACGAAAUGUUGGGAAUUCUGGGAUACUCCGGGGUCAAUUCGGAAGAAGGUGGGGAUGACGUCAAAUCAUCCUGCCCCUUAUGUUUUGGGCUUCACGCAUGCUACAAUGGCCGGUACAAAGGGCUGCAAUACCGUGAGGUGGAGCGAAUUCCAAAAAGCCGGUCCCAGUUCGGAUUGAGGUCUGCAACUCGACCUCAUGAAGUCGGAGUCGCUAGUAAUCGCAGAUCAGCAACGCUGCGGUGAAUACGUUCCCGGGUCUUGUACACACCGCCCGUCAAGUCAUGAAAGUCGGUAACACCUGAAGCCGGUGGCCCAACCCUUGUGGAGGGAGCC